This 498-nucleotide ribosomal RNA is filed under the name uncultured bacterium. RNAcentral describes it as "partial 16S ribosomal RNA". It matches the Rfam family "Bacterial small subunit ribosomal RNA", at positions 30 to 523 of the family's 1533-position model. The record is from RNAcentral.
AUUGAACGCUGGCGGCAUGCCUUACACAUGCAAGUCGAACGGUAACGCGGGGCAACCUGGCGACGAGUGGCGAACGGGUGAGUAAUGUAUCGGAACGUGCCCAGUUGUGGGGGAUAACUGCUCGAAAGAGCAGCUAAUACCGCAUACGACCUGGGGGUGAAAGCGGGGGAUCGCAAGACCUCGCGCAAUUGGAGCGGCCGAUAUCAGAUUAGGUAGUUGGUGGGGUAAAGGCCUACCAAGCCUACGAUCUGUAGCUGGUCUGAGAGGACGACCAGCCACACUGGGACUGAGACACGGCCCAGACUCCUACGGGAGGCAGCAGUGGGGAAUUUUGGACAAUGGGGGCAACCCUGAUCCAGCCAUGCCGCGUGCGGGAAGAAGGCCUUCGGGUUGUAAACCGCUUUUGUCAGGGAAGAGAUCCUUUGAACUAAUACUUCGGAGGGAUGACGGUACCUGAAGAAUAAGCACCGGCUAACUACGUGCCAGCCGCCGCCGUAA